Molecule: long non-coding RNA, 756 nt
Organism: Lolium perenne
Lineage: Eukaryota; Viridiplantae; Streptophyta; Magnoliopsida; Poales; Poaceae
Source: RefSeq, a predicted model, not a curated record
CGCCGCCACCAGAUAGGCCUCGUGGUGCGUCGGCGGCGAGCGCCGCCGCCACCAGGUCGGCCCUGUCGUGCGUCGCCGGCGAGCGACGACGCUACUAGGUCGACGCCGCCGCUACAUCGAGAGAUGCCAGAACCAUUCUCGACGCCAGAUGCUGUCAUGCCUUCAGAGAAUCAGAAGUGAGGACGAAGGAUAUGAGUUCUAUAACGAGCAUGCAAAGGUCAAAAGGUUUAGUAUUCGGAAGGAGGAGGUGAAAUAUUCUCUACCGGGGAAUGGUUCGUGAUGGAUUUUGAGGACAAGCAUAACCAUCCACUCGCUAUGGAAGACCAGUCUGCUUACGUAUUCUCUCACCGCCGGAUGACAGACAGCCAGAAGGCCGAUGUAGUUGGGUAUGGGAUUGGUGGCCAGAAGGCCCCAUGGCAAAGCUUCGCAGUCGGUACCUUUCGCUAAAAUAUCCGAUCACCCAUUGUUGCAAAGUGCUGCCCGUAUUUGUACUCCAGUAAUGUUCAAGAUGGUAAAGGAGCAGAUCAUGAAAUCUGAUGGAUGGGAGAUUGGUGAGGUGACCCAGGGAGAUGGUAAAGGAGCAGAUCAUGAAAUCUGAUAGAAUAACUAUGUUGUAAUAAUGCUGAUGGUGUUCUAGUUAAACUGAAUUUAAUUGGAAGAGUGAUUUCAUGAUGCUUGUUAACUUUUUUAUCAGACAUUCAUGUAAAAUAGUUUGAAAUAAAAUAUAUUUAUGUGAUCUCUCCUCAUGCUUGUUAA